AGUAAAGUGACUGAAAUAUAGGUAAUAGACUGUAAAUCUAUUUAUGGAAUUUAAUUUUCCUUUACUA
RNAcentral lists this transfer RNA (67 nucleotides) under Chorisoserrata biceps. RNAcentral's name for it is "tRNA-Tyr". Lineage: Eukaryota; Metazoa; Arthropoda; Insecta; Blattodea; Pseudophyllodromiidae. The record is from RNAcentral.